This 198-nucleotide ribosomal RNA is filed under the name uncultured bacterium. Its description in RNAcentral is "partial 16S ribosomal RNA". It matches the Rfam family "Bacterial small subunit ribosomal RNA", at positions 328 to 539 of the family's 1533-position model. The record is from RNAcentral.
ACGCUCGACACCUACGGAGGCAGCAGUGGGGAAUAUUGCACAAUGGGGGAAACCCUGAUGCAGCGACGCCGCGUGAGGGAAGAAGGUUUUCGGAUUGUAAACCUCUGUCCUUGGUGAAGAAGGAAGACGGUAGCCAAGGAGGAAGCCACGGCUAACUACGCGCCAGCAGCCGCGGUAAUCUGAGCGGGCUGGCAAGGC